RNAcentral lists this transfer RNA (75 nucleotides) under Bacteroides sp. RNAcentral's name for it is "tRNA-Glu". It matches the Rfam family "tRNA". From Rfam's summary of the family: Transfer RNA (tRNA) molecules are approximately 80 nucleotides in length. Lineage: Bacteria; Pseudomonadati; Bacteroidota; Bacteroidia; Bacteroidales; Bacteroidaceae. The record is from RNAcentral.
GGUGGGUUCAUCUAACGGUUAGGAUACAUGCCUCUCACGCAUGGUAUACGAGUUCGAUUCUCGUACCCACUACCA